Molecule: long non-coding RNA, 382 nt
Filed under: Mytilus galloprovincialis (Mediterranean mussel)
Lineage: Eukaryota; Metazoa; Mollusca; Bivalvia; Mytilida; Mytilidae
Source: RNAcentral
CGCCUGUCGUUUGUUUGGGUAGAAUUGUUUUCACAUUUUUUUCAUGAUUUGAGUGUUUUUGGUGAUGACUAUGUAGUGAUCGAUAGUUGCUUUCAUCAACAUAAUUUUUACUUUUUUAAAAGUUUGCUGAUUGGCAAUAAUACGUCCUAUUGCUUUUUAUGUAAAGCUUAAAUAACUUUACAUUUCUAAGUUCCUUGCGUUUGGAAAUAAAUAAGAGAUCAAUAACGGUUAUACGUUCUACUCUGGGACUAUUUAUAACAUAAAAUGUAUAUAAAUACAUUUUUAGAAUGCUGGUUAGUCUAAUUCGUGAUUUACUAGGAUUUCUUUUUUUGAUUCUGUCGUCACCUGUGAGACUUUAUAGACGAAAUAUGCUUUAAGUAUA